ACCGCAUAAUGUCUACGGACCAAAGGGGGCUUCGGCUCUCGCCUUUAGAUUGGCCCAAGUGGGAUUAGCUAGUUGGUGAGGUAAUGGCUCACCAAGGCGACGAUCCCUAGCUGGUUUGAGAGGAUGAUCAGCCACACUGGGACUGAGACACGGCCCAGACUCCUACGGGAGGCAGCAGUGGGGAAUAUUGCACAAUGGGCGCAAGCCUGAUGCAGCCAUGCCGCGUGUGUGAAGAAGGCCUUCGGGUUGUAAAGCACUUUCAGUCAGGAGGAAAGGUUAGUAGUUAAUACCUGCUAGCUGUGACGUUACUGACAGAAGAAGCACCGGCUAACUCCGUGCCAGCAGCCGCGGUAAUACGGAGGGUGCGAGCGUUAAUCGGAAUUACUGGGCGUAAAGCGUACGCAGGCGGUUUGUUAAGCGAGAUGUGAAAGCCCCGGGCUCAACCUGGGAACUGCAUUUCGAACUGGCAAACUAGAGUGUGAUAGAGGGUGGUAGAAUUUCAGGUGUAGCGGUGAAAUGCGUAGAGAUCUGAAGGAAUACCGAUGGCGAAGGCAGCCACCUGGGUCAACACUGACGCUCAUGUACGAAAGCGUGGGGAGCA
This 601-nucleotide ribosomal RNA is filed under the name marine bacterium AK6_023. Its description in RNAcentral is "bacterial SSU rRNA". It matches the Rfam family "Bacterial small subunit ribosomal RNA", at positions 168 to 770 of the family's 1533-position model. The record is from RNAcentral.